CGUAGGGGGCUAGCGUUGUCCGGAAUCAUUGGGCGUAAAGCGCGCGUAGGCGGCCCGGUAAGUCCGCUGUAAAAGUCAAAGGCUUAACCUUUGAAUGUCAGUGGAUAUUGCCGGGCUAGAGUCCGGAAGAGGCGAGUGGAAUUCCUGGUGUAGCGGUGGAAUGCGCAGAUAUCAGGAGGAACACCAACGGCGAAGGCAGCUCGCUGGGACGGUACUGACGCUGAGGCGCGAAAGCGUGGGGAGCAAACAGGAUUAGAUACCCUGGUAGUCCACGCCGUAAACGAUGGGCACUAGGUGUGGGAGGUGUCGACUCCUCCCGUGCCGGCGCUAACGCAUUAAGUGCCCCGCCUGGGGAGUACGGCCGCAAGGCUA
This 372-nucleotide ribosomal RNA is filed under the name uncultured organism. RNAcentral's name for it is "bacterial SSU rRNA". It matches the Rfam family "Bacterial small subunit ribosomal RNA", at positions 526 to 896 of the family's 1533-position model. The record is from RNAcentral.